Molecule: small RNA, 396 nt
Filed under: Histoplasma ohiense
Lineage: Eukaryota; Fungi; Ascomycota; Eurotiomycetes; Onygenales; Ajellomycetaceae
Description: hypothetical lncRNA
Source: RNAcentral
UUUUUUUUUUUUCUUUUUUGGUUCAAUUUUUCCUUUCUUUCUUUUUCUUUUUCUUCUUCUUUAUGUGUGCAAUCACUGCUUUUUUUCCCCUUCUACUCUUUUGAGCCCUUUUCCAUUAAUUUUCCAUUAAUUUUCUUUGCUUCUAACUUUUAAAGCUGCUAGUUAACCUUAACUUCUUUUAUACUUUUCUUUCUGUUGUUUCGUCAUCAGCCUUAACUCUUGAUCCGACUCUUGGCAUCUUGCGGGUUGGAGAGUGUAUCUUCCGAUCAGAUAGAUGGCUUACUUCGAGUUGGUUGCAUGGGCAGGGCUUCAGGGAUUUUCUACGAGCUGUUGGUUUUUCUUUGCUAUGAUUAUUGUAUAUAGAGCUUCUUUGUAUUGGUAGAGAACCAUGCCCAA